RNAcentral lists this signal recognition particle RNA (294 nucleotides) under Suricata suricatta (meerkat). RNAcentral describes it as "Metazoan signal recognition particle RNA (ENSSSUG00005015986.1)". It matches the Rfam family "Metazoan signal recognition particle RNA". Rfam says of the family: The signal recognition particle (SRP) is a universally conserved ribonucleoprotein. It is involved in the co-translational targeting of proteins to membranes. Lineage: Eukaryota; Metazoa; Chordata; Mammalia; Carnivora; Herpestidae. The record is from Rfam by way of RNAcentral.
GCCGGGCAUGGUGGUGCGCGCCUGUACUCCCAGCUACUCAGGAGGCUAAGGCAGGAGGAUCGCUUGAGCCCAGGAGUUCUGGGCUGUAGUGCGCUAUGCUGGUCGGGUGUCUGCACUAAGUUCGGCAUCAAUAUGGUGACCCCCCGGGAGAGGGGAGCCACCAGGUUGCCUGAGGAGGGGUAAAUCAGCACAGGUUGGAAACGGAGCAGGUCAAAACUCCCGUGCUGAUCAGCCUUCUGCCUAUUUUCACUGGAUUAUUUGUUUUUCAGAUAUGGAGUUUGGUGUGUUCCUUAU